UACGUAGGUGGCAAGCGUUGUCCGGAAUUACUGGGUGUAAAGCGCGUGUAGGCGGCAGGCCAAGUCUGCGGUGAAAGCGCCCGGCUCAACUGGGCGAGGUCCGUGGAAACUGGUCAGCUGGAGGACGGUAGAGGCGAGUGGAAUUCCCGGUGUAGUGGUGAAAUGCGUAGAGAUCGGGAGGAACACCAGUGGCGAAGGCGGACUACCUGGCCUGUUUCUUGACGCUGAGGCGCGAAAGCUAGGGGAGCAAACGGG
This 255-nucleotide ribosomal RNA is filed under the name uncultured bacterium. RNAcentral's name for it is "partial 16S ribosomal RNA". It matches the Rfam family "Bacterial small subunit ribosomal RNA", at positions 524 to 776 of the family's 1533-position model. The record is from RNAcentral.